Molecule: ribosomal RNA, 218 nt
Filed under: uncultured bacterium
Lineage: Bacteria
Description: partial 16S ribosomal RNA
Rfam family: Bacterial small subunit ribosomal RNA
Source: RNAcentral
GACGAACGCUGGCGGCGUGCUUAACACAUGCAAGUCGAGCGGUGAACCACUUCGGUGGGGAUCAGCGGCGAACGGGUGAGUAACACGUGGGCAACCUGCCCCCUAGCACUGGGAGUAACCCCGGGAAACCCGGGGACGUAAUACCGGAUAUGACUCUGAGCGGCGAUCUCUCAGAGUGGAAAGAAUUUAUUCGGCGUAGGGAGUGGGCCCGGCCGGCC